CUCCCUGGAGCUCUUCACGUGAUGACAGGCGCAGAUCAGCGGACAGGCGCGUAACAGGAGGUGCUAAGUGCGCAGGUGGGGUCACGUGCCGCGUCACAGCAGUGCUGGAGGAGAGUCCUGACUCAUGGCCUGGGAUGCUGGGGUUCCUCCCCAGAGAAGCUCUUUUGGACCUGGGAGAAGGAGUAGGACUUUGAUACACCAUGGAGGUCUCUGAAUGUAACCAAAUUGUUCUCCUCUUAUCAUUCCCAUUCACUGGUGUACUUGUUUGUGGAGCCUGCAGAACUGCCUUUUUCAAGAAUGCUUAAGGCUAAUUUAAAAGGAUGGUGAGGAGAUUCUAUUUUCAACUGGCUGAAGUUCAAUAAGAAUAAAAUAAAACACUGUUGUAGCAAACUCUUUCACAGUGGAAGUUUGGCAAAGCUAAAUCUCAUUCCUUUCGAUGUGCUCCAGUACAGCCAAAAUACUGUUCCAGUGAGUAAGACACCCAUUAGAGUGAUGAGCUUCCUACAGAACAAGAAUCUCUCCAUAUUUUA
This 530-nucleotide long non-coding RNA is filed under the name Homo sapiens (human). RNAcentral describes it as "HSALNT0338275". Lineage: Eukaryota; Metazoa; Chordata; Mammalia; Primates; Hominidae. The record is from RNAcentral.